GAUGACCUCAUAAUUGGGCCAUGAUUAUGAUGUGCAAGUUCUUAAGUGGUCUCAGCAAAAGCUUCUGAGCGGAUUCAGUCCCCAGUCUCCUCUCCAGCACAAGUGCAGUGGCCCCUUCCCUCACUUCCACACUGGCAAGAGUGUGUUUUCUGUAGAGGCAAAGACUAUAAUGAGAUGUGGCACAACAUAAACACAUCCCUGUGAGAAUGGCAGCAAGGAGAAUUGCAGACUGCCCGGAAGUCCACCCAAUUUUCAUUAUCCCUCAAUGAUGGCAAUCCUGCGGGUCUCCUCCAGAACGCUCCCUUCCUCUGUGAAAUACAUCGCGGCUUUCUCCUCAUCCUUCAGUCACUGACGCUAAGUAAAAGAGCGGUGUGCUGAGUUGAAUGACAACUUCUAAUUAAAGUAGUGGCUGAUUAUCAUCACAUAUCUUUCACAAUUAACAGAAGAACGUUCUUAUCAUACAUACAGAGAGAGUGAUUUUACUAUUUUGAGGAAAGAUUUACUCAGCUGGUUCCACAUAGUCGGGGAAAACAUGUCUUAUAAAGAAAUUGGUGUUAUAUUUUCCGUCAACCUCAUUUCCAUUUUGCUGAAGUGUCUGCAGAACAGCUCAAGACCACACGGUGGUUCCCACCCACUCAGUGGCCUGUGCAGCAGGGGCUGUGGACCCGUCUUCUGUGGCCGGCUGAGCACUCCGGUCUUCGGUAGGGAACUACUGAAUAGGCACGGGGGGCACCUGCACACCUUCAGACCAGUCUGCAACCUCCGGCUGAGCAACGGUGAAUUCCGGAUCUGGUGCGAUCCAUUCGCCCUGAAAUUCCUCUGGGUCAUAGCCUUCUCAGCAGCUGCCUGCUCUACCUUUUCAAUCUCUUCAGGAUCCCUGUAGAAGCAGAGAUCUGGCAUAACUUCCCACGGGUGUUCACGGGAGAUGGUGACACGCAUGCGUAGCACGUCCCGGGCCAGCGUCCACCACAUCAGACCCACUGAGUGAGCUCCGUUAUUGUUGCACUUCACUGUCAGCUUUACACAUAGUGUCCCUAGCAAUCCAUAGGAUCCUCUUCUGAGGUGAAUAGUGGCAUUUUACAGCUGAAGUAAUGAAGAAAAUCUAGUUAAGGAAGCAGAGUGAUUGCUAAGGGGUGGAACCUGCAUUCCAGCUUUGAUGCUCUUGUCCAAAGGGUUCUUUCCUUUGCACCAGGCUGCUUGUAGGCUAGGUUUCUAGGCCAGGGCUGUGGGAUGCUUCAUCUGCCCUUGGCCUCUACAAAUCCAGAGAGACUGGUUGACAACAUUUGGUGAGUUCAUCAUAUCCUGUUUUAGUAAAGCUUCCAGUCUCCACCUCAUGCUGUUUCUUCUAUUGCAUUUCUUUAACAUACAUGAUCAUGACCAUGUAGAGAAAGCACAGUUUUGUUAAAUGUAGAAGUUAAAAAUACUAGAUGCACCUAUUUUGACUUUCCUUUGACCUGGUGAUGAAUGAUUUCAAAUAUGUAUGUAUCAUCAAACUUCCAUUUAUGAGGGGAAUUUUUUUUUUUUUUUUUUUGGUUUUUCUCCGGUACCAGGAACCGAACUCACGACCUUGCGCUUGCCAGGCAGGCGCUUUUGCCGCUGAGCUAAAUCCCCAGCCCCCUAAACUUCCAUUUAU
Long non-coding RNA from Chinchilla lanigera (long-tailed chinchilla), 1633 nucleotides. NCBI's taxonomy places the organism in Eukaryota, Metazoa, Chordata, Mammalia, Rodentia, Chinchillidae. The record is from Ensembl.